Molecule: ribosomal RNA, 492 nt
Filed under: uncultured bacterium
Lineage: Bacteria
Description: partial 16S ribosomal RNA
Rfam family: Bacterial small subunit ribosomal RNA
Source: RNAcentral
AGUGAACGCUGGCGGUAGGCCUAACACAUGCAAGUCGAACGGCAGCACAGUAAGAGCUUGCUCUUACGGGUGGCGAGUGGCGGACGGGUGAGGAAUAAAUCGGAAUCUACUUUUUCGUGGGGGAUAACGUAGGGAACCUACCGCUAAUACCGCAUACGACCUACGGGGGAAAGCAGGGGAUCUUCGGACCUUGCGCGAUUGAAUGAGCCGAUGUCGGAUUAGCUAGUUGGCGGGGUAAAGGCCCACCAAGGCGACGAUCCGUAGCUGGUCUGAGAGGAUGAUCAGCCACACUGGAACUGAGACACGGUCCAGACUCCUACGGGAGGCAGCAGUGGGGAAUAUUGGACAAUGGGCGCAAGCCUGAUCCAGCCAUACCGCGUGGGUGAAGAAGGCCUUCGGGUUGUAAAGCCCUUUUGUUGGGAAAGAAAAGCAGCAGGUUAAUACCCCGCUGUUCUGACGGUACCCAAAGAAUAAGCACCGGCUAACUUCGUG